ACGGGAGGCAGCAGUGGGGAAUAUUGGGCAAUGGGCGAAAGCCUGACCCAGCAACGCCGCGUGAGGGAAGAAGGUUUUCGGAUUGUAAACCUCUGUCCUAAGGGAAGAAGGAAGUGACGGUACCUUAGGAGGAAGCCCCGGCUAACUACGUGCCAGCAGCCGCGGUAAUACGUAGGGGGCAAGCGUUAUCCGGAUUUACUGGGUGUAAAGGGAGCGUAGACGGCAAGGUAAGUCUGAAGUGAAAUGCCGGGGCUCAACCCCGGAACUGCUUUGGAAACUAUCUCGCUCGAGUACCGGAGGGGUAAGCGGAAUUCCUAGUGUAGCGGUGAAAUGCGUAGAUAUUAGGAGGAACACCAGUGGCGAAGGCGGCUUACUGGACGGUAACUGACGUUGAGGCUCGAAAGCGUGGGGAGCAAACAGGAUUAGAUACCCUGGUA
RNAcentral lists this ribosomal RNA (437 nucleotides) under uncultured Lachnospiraceae bacterium. Its description in RNAcentral is "bacterial SSU rRNA". It matches the Rfam family "Bacterial small subunit ribosomal RNA", at positions 341 to 792 of the family's 1533-position model. The record is from RNAcentral. Lineage: Bacteria; Bacillati; Bacillota; Clostridia; Lachnospirales; Lachnospiraceae.